AUUGAACGCUGGCGGCAUGCUUUACACAUGCAAGUCGAACGGCAGCGCGGGCUUCGGGCUGGCGGCGAGUGGGGAACGGGGGAGUAAUGCACCGGAACGUGCCCAGCAGUGGGGGAUAGCCCGGCGAAAGCCGGAUUAAUACCGCAUACGACCAGAGGGUGAAAGCGGGGGAGCGAAAGGCAGCGCGGGAUGGGAGGGGCCGAGGUGGGAGUAGCGAGCUGGUGGGGUAAAGGCUUACCAAGGCGACGAUCCGUAGGUGGUCUGAGAGGACGAGCAGCCACCCUGGAACUGAGACCCGGCCCAGACUCCUGCGGGAGGCAGCAGUGGGGAAUUUUGGGCAAUGGGGGCAACCCUGAUCCAGCCAUGCCGCGUGCGGGAAGAAGGCCUUCGGGUUGUAAACCGCUUUUGUUCGGGAAGAAAUCCUCUGGGCUAAUACCCCGGGGGGAUGACGGUACCGGAAGAAUAAGCACCGGCUAACUACGUG
This 484-nucleotide ribosomal RNA is filed under the name uncultured bacterium. RNAcentral describes it as "partial 16S ribosomal RNA". It matches the Rfam family "Bacterial small subunit ribosomal RNA", at positions 28 to 507 of the family's 1533-position model. The record is from RNAcentral.